RNAcentral lists this ribosomal RNA (438 nucleotides) under uncultured Actinomycetes bacterium. Its description in RNAcentral is "bacterial SSU rRNA". It matches the Rfam family "Bacterial small subunit ribosomal RNA", at positions 917 to 1348 of the family's 1533-position model. The record is from RNAcentral. Lineage: Bacteria; Bacillati; Actinomycetota; Actinomycetes.
GGGCCCGCACAAGCGGCGGAGCAUGCGGAUUAAUUCGAUGCAACGCGAAGAACCUUACCUGGGUUUGACAUAUACGAGAAGCCUCUAGAGAUAGAGGUCUCUUUGGACACUCGUAUACAGGUGGUGCAUGGCUGUCGUCAGCUCGUGUCGUGAGAUGUUGGGUUAAGUCCCGCAACGAGCGCAACCCUCGUCCUAUGUUGCCAGCACGCCCUUCGGGGUGGUGGGGACUCAUGGGAGACUGCCGGGGUCAACUCGGAGGAAGGUGGGGAUGACGUCAAAUCAUCAUGCCCCUUAUGUCUUGGGCUUCACGCAUGCUACAAUGGCCGGUACAAAGGGCUGCAAUACCGUAAGGUGGAGCGAAUCCCAAAAAGCCGGUCCCAGUUCGGAUUGAGGUCUGCAACUCGACCUCAUGAAGUCGGAGUCGCUAGUAAUCGCAGA